AUGGAUCAAGAUGAUGGUCUGCAUCACCCCGCCGUCGACCUUGUCGCCAGUGACCCCGCCUGCCCGACCCCAACAUCCAGGACCUCUCUUCAGAAAGUUUGUGCUCUUAUCACUACAUUCAACGAAUUCAAACGCAGGCUGGUUGUAGAAAUUGGUUUUGGUGGCAUGUUGCGUCUCCCGGCUAUAACUAGGCUUAAUUUAAAAUUCAGCACAUGGAUCAUGAGCAUGGUCGAUGGUCCGAACAGAUGCAUCAAGUUAUCUCAUGAUAGAUCUAUUAAAUUCUGGCUAGAGGAUAUCCACAAAGUUUUUGGCAUACCAUGUGGCACAAUAGGCAUCCAUAGCCCUGAAUAUCAACAAGCCGAAAGUUCAGUUUAG
This 375-nucleotide ribosomal RNA is filed under the name Triticum aestivum (bread wheat). Its description in RNAcentral is "partial small subunit ribosomal RNA". Lineage: Eukaryota; Viridiplantae; Streptophyta; Magnoliopsida; Poales; Poaceae. The record is from RNAcentral.